GGCUACAUAGCUCAGUUGGUUAGAGCACAGCAUCCAUAAUGCUGGGGUCCCUGGUUCAAGUCCAGGUGUAGCCACCA
RNAcentral lists this transfer RNA (77 nucleotides) under Candidatus Pseudomonas excrementavium. RNAcentral's name for it is "tRNA-Met". It matches the Rfam family "tRNA". From Rfam's summary of the family: Transfer RNA (tRNA) molecules are approximately 80 nucleotides in length. Lineage: Bacteria; Pseudomonadati; Pseudomonadota; Gammaproteobacteria; Pseudomonadales; Pseudomonadaceae. The record is from RNAcentral.